GUGGAUUAGAUACCCGGGUAGUCCACGCCCUAAACGAUGUCUACUAGUUGUCGGGUCUUAAUUGACUUGGUAACGCAGCUAACGCGUGAAGUAGACCGCCUGGGGAGUACGGUCGCAAGAUUAAAACUCAAAGGAAUUGACGGGGACCCGCACAAGCGGUGGAUGAUGUGGAUUAAUUCGAUGCAACGCGAAAAACCUUACCUACCCGUGACAUGUACGGAACCCUGCUGAAAGGUGGGGGUGCUCGAAAGAGAGCCGUAACACAGGUGCUGCACGGCUGUCGUCAGCU
Molecule: ribosomal RNA, 289 nt
Filed under: uncultured bacterium
Lineage: Bacteria
Description: partial 16S ribosomal RNA
Rfam family: Bacterial small subunit ribosomal RNA
Source: RNAcentral